This 978-nucleotide unclassified non-coding RNA is filed under the name Pomacea canaliculata. RNAcentral's name for it is "uncharacterized LOC112557338, transcript variant X1". The record is from RNAcentral. Lineage: Eukaryota; Metazoa; Mollusca; Gastropoda; Architaenioglossa; Ampullariidae.
ACGGUCAUUUCUAUAUACGCAAUUUUGUUACUUUUUAUUUCUGAAAACUGAGACUACUACCGCGUCUCAUCAUGUUUUCCCCAACGACUAGUCACAGUUCAGAGAGAGAGAGAGUGGGUGUGUUAAACAGUCUUCGGCAAACAUUCAAGGUAUUUCUUUGCAUUAUUUAUUAUUUAUCCUUUCAUGACUUGCUGAGCUAAUAAACCCAGGGGCCUGUGCCAGAGCUGUGGUGAUUUGCUGCUUCACGGUGCCCGACAAAGGAAAUACAUUCACUGAUGUCAAAGGCUAUUCAUUUGUAUUUUCAGCUCUGCACUCCUUUCCCCGGAAGGCUUCUGCAUAUUCCAGAGUGCUUCGUUGCCAGUCUUUGUGGACGUGGCAGUUCGUCUGGAUUUUUCUGUAGGAAGACAUCCACGAUUGCUCUACCAUGUUGCGGUACCCGGGCCUUUACAUCAGAGACGGUGACAACUGGUGUUUCAAGAGGUCCCCGAAGACCCCGAAUACGCAGGCGCAAGAAGCUUUGAACAUUCGCCAUGUUGACAGUGCGUGCCACGUGAUGAUCGCUUCAGACCGUAUCGAAACAUUAAAGAGGAGCAGGCGACCACUUGGACAUGAACUUUGUGGUACACGAAUAGCAACCUGUUCAUAGCAUCAUUCGUACUCCCGGACUCAGCCGGAGGCCCAAAUUCCACUGAGUGCCUCUCAAUGUCUCAUCAGAAACUCAGCGUGCUCUUCCCACAAACUAAUCAUGCUUUUUUGAUCGGUGCGCAGGCUUCAUCUUUGUCUGUAAAAAUUACCCCAAAGUUGAUAUAUUCUUUCACAUUUUGCUUUCUAUAGGCCUAACUGUGUUUCUAACUUCGGAAAUCUGCGAUGGGCUGUGCGACUACAGCAUAUGCAUCGACUUAAAGUAUGUGUGAACACAUACUCAUACAAGAGUGUUGUUAUCAUCGUUUUAUUGCAGUCCUGUAUACGUGUAGUCCU